RNAcentral lists this ribosomal RNA (464 nucleotides) under uncultured bacterium. Its description in RNAcentral is "partial 16S ribosomal RNA". It matches the Rfam family "Bacterial small subunit ribosomal RNA", at positions 28 to 507 of the family's 1533-position model. The record is from RNAcentral.
GACGAACGCUAGCGGCGUGCUUAACACAUGCAAGUCGAACGGAAAGGCCCUGCUUGCAGGGUACUCGAGUGGCGAACGGGUGAGUAACACGUGGGUGAUCUGCCCUGCACUUCGGGAUAAGCCUGGGAAACUGGGUCUAAUACCGGAUAGGAGCCAUUUUUAGUGUGAUGGUUGGAAAGUUUUUUCGGUGUAGGAUGAGCUCGCGGCCUAUCAGCUUGUUGGUGGGGUAAUGGCCUACCAAGGCGGCGACGGGUAGCCGGCCUGAGAGGGUGGACGGCCACAUUGGGACUGAGAUACGGCCCAGACUCCUACGGGAGGCAGCAGUGGGGAAUAUUGCACAAUGGGCGCAAGCCUGAUGCAGCGACGCCGCGUGGGGGAUGACGGCCUUCGGGUUGUAAACUCCUUUCGCUAGGGACGAAGCUUUUGUGACGGUACCUAGAUAAGAAGCACCGGCUAACUACGUG